UCUUCUCGCCAUGGUUUGGCUUCCCCUUCUCAGCCUUCUGGUGAUGUGGUGCACAGGUUCAGAUUCUCAGCCUGUGCUGACUCAGCCUCCAUCAGCAUCGGUGUCACCAGGGAACACAGUGAAGGUCUCCUGUGUCAUGGGCAGUGGAUUCAGCAUCAGUGGCUCCUACAUGUCCUGGUACCAGCAGAAGCCUGGGAAUCCCCCAAGAUUCCUCCUAUGGUAUUAUUCUGAUUCCAGCAAAGGCCAGGGCUCCGGGGUUCCCUCUCGUUUCUCUGCUUCCAAAGACACGUCUUCAAACACCUUCUUUUUAACCAUCACGGGAGCCCUGGCAGAAGAUGAGGCUGAUUAUUACUGUGCUUCAGAGCACGGCAGUGGUAGCAGCUGGAGGUAA
This is a non-coding RNA of Heteronotia binoei (common prickly gecko), 391 nucleotides long. Lineage: Eukaryota; Metazoa; Chordata; Lepidosauria; Squamata; Gekkonidae. The record is from the annotation of a RefSeq genome assembly.